This 76-nucleotide transfer RNA is filed under the name Deltaproteobacteria bacterium. RNAcentral describes it as "tRNA-Thr". It matches the Rfam family "tRNA". From Rfam's summary of the family: Transfer RNA (tRNA) molecules are approximately 80 nucleotides in length. Lineage: Bacteria; Pseudomonadati; Myxococcota; Myxococcia. The record is from RNAcentral.
GCCCACAUAGCUCAGUCGGUAGAGCACAUCCUUGGUAAGGAUGAGGUCACCAGUUCAAAUCUGGUUGUGGGCUCCA